AGUCGUAACAAGGUAUCCGUAGGUGAACCUGCGGAUGGAUCAUUACCAAAGGAAUGAAAAUUCUACGUUAUGUGAACAGUUUUGAGUAUGGGGUGACGGUCAGUGGUGGUUUUGGGGUUAGGCUUAAUCCUAAUGCACUGCUGGCUGUGCCCGAUCAUUAAAUGUCUUCUACGAUCAAACUGAUGUCUACUUAGCUUCAGAACUAAACACAACUUUUAGCAACGGAUCUCUUGGCUCUC
RNAcentral lists this unclassified non-coding RNA (239 nucleotides) under fungal sp. Its description in RNAcentral is "partial internal transcribed spacer region". The stretch from base 1 to 45 matches the Rfam family "Eukaryotic small subunit ribosomal RNA", at positions 1787 to 1831 of the family's 1831-position model. The record is from RNAcentral. Lineage: Eukaryota; Fungi.